RNAcentral lists this ribosomal RNA (1352 nucleotides) under uncultured Alphaproteobacteria bacterium. RNAcentral's name for it is "bacterial SSU rRNA". It matches the Rfam family "Bacterial small subunit ribosomal RNA". The record is from RNAcentral. Lineage: Bacteria; Pseudomonadati; Pseudomonadota; Alphaproteobacteria.
CCUUAGAGUUUGAUGCCUGGCUCAGAACGUACGCUGGCGGCACGCCUAACACAUGCAAGUCGAACGAAGUAGCAAUACUUAGUGGCAGACGGGUGAGUAACAUGUAGGUAUCUGCCCUUUGGCCUGGAAUAACACGAGGAAACUUGUGCUAAUACCGGAUAAGUCUUUACGGAGAAAGCUUUAUGCACCAUUGGAUGAGCCUGCACUUGAUUAGUUUGUUGGUGGGGUAAUGGCCUACCAAGACUGUGAUCAAUAGCUGAUUUGAGAGGAUGAUCAGCCACAUUGGGACUGAGACACGGCCCAAACUCCUACGGGAGGCAGCAGUGAGGAAUCUUGCACAAUGGAGGAAACUCUGAUGCAGCGAUGCCGCGUGAGUGAAGAAGGCCUUUGGGUUGUAAAGCUCUUUCGUCGGGGAAGAAAAUGACUGUACCCGAAUAAGAAGGUCCGGCUAACUUCGUGCCAGCAGCCGCGGUAAUACGAAGGGACCUAGCGUAGUUCGGAAUUACUGGGCUUAAAGAGUUCGUAGGUGGUUGAAAUAGUUGGUGGUGAAAUCCCAGAGCUUAACUCUGGAACUGCCAUCAAAACUUUUCAGCUAGAGUAUGAUAGAGGAAAGCAGAAUUUCUAGUGUAGAGGUGAAAUUCGUAGAUAUUAGAAAGAAUACCAAUUGCGAAGGCAGCUUUCUGGAUCAUUACUGACACUGAGGAACGAAAGCAUGGGUAGCGAAGAGGAUUAGAUACCCUCGUAGUCCAUGCCGUAAACGAUGUGUGUUAGACGUUGGAAAUUUAUUUUCAGUGUCGCAGGGAAACCGAUAAACACACCGCCUGGGGAGUACGACCGCAAGGUUAAAACUCAAAUGAAUUGACGGGGACCCGCACAAGUAGUGGAGCAUGUGGUUUAAUUCGAAGAUACGCGCAGAACCUUACCAACACUUGACAUGUUCGUCGCGACUCUAAGAGAUUAGAGUUUUCGGUUCGGCCGGACGAAACACAGGUGCUGCAUGGCUGUCGUCAGCUCGUGUCGUGAGAUGUUGGGUUAAGUCCCGCAACGAGCGCAACCCUCACUUUUAGUUGCCAUCAUUAAGUUGGGCACUCUGAAAGAACUGCCAGUGAUAAGCUGGAGGAAGGUGGGGAUGACGUCAAGUCCUCAUGGCCCUUACGUGUUGGGCUACACACGUGCUACAAUGGUAUCUACAACAGGAAGCAAGACUGCGAAGUUAAGCAAAUCCCUAAAAGAUACCUCAGUUCGGAUUGCACUCUGCAACUCGAGUGCAUGAAGCUGGAAUUACUAGUAAUCGUGGAUCAGCGUGCCACGGUGAAUGCGUUCCCGGGUCUUGCACACACCGCCCGUCAAGG